UGCCUAGCCGUAAAAUAUUAACUUACAACUACAUCGCCAGGGGAUUACGAGCUUAAACUUAAAACCCAAAGGACUUGACGGUGUCCCACCUACCUAGAGGAGCCUGUUCUAUAAUCGAUUUCCCCCGAUAAACCUCACCCCUUCUUGCCUUUCAGCCUGUAUACCUCCGUCGCAAGCUUACCAUGUGAACGACCCCAGUGAGCUAAAAGAUCUCGCAUCAAAACGUCAGGUCAAGGUGCAGCCCAUGAAGAGGAAAGAAAUGGGCUACAAUUUCUAAGAUAGAACAAACGAAUAACCACAUGAAAUAUGGUUAUGAAGGCGGAUUUAGCAGUAAAAAGAAAAUAGAGAGCUCUUUUUAAUAAAGCACUGGGACGCGU
This 377-nucleotide ribosomal RNA is filed under the name Hoplophryne rogersi (Tanzania banana frog). Its description in RNAcentral is "partial 12S ribosomal RNA". It matches the Rfam family "Bacterial small subunit ribosomal RNA", at positions 836 to 1384 of the family's 1533-position model. The record is from RNAcentral. Lineage: Eukaryota; Metazoa; Chordata; Amphibia; Anura; Microhylidae.